CCUACGGGAGGCACCAGUGGGGAAUAUUGCACAAUGGGCGCAAGCCUGAUGCAGCCAUGCCGCGUGUAUGAAGAAGGCCUUCGGGUUGUAAAGUACUUUCAGCGGGGAGGAGGUGUUGUGGUUAAUAACCGCAGCAAUUGACGUUACCCGCAGAAGAAGCGCCGGCUAGCUCCGUGCCAGCAGCCGCGGUAAUACGGAGGGUGCAAGCGUUAAUCGGAAUUACUGGGCGUAAAGCGCACGCAGGCGGUCUGUCAAGUCGGAUGUGAAAUCCCCGGGCUCAACCUGGGAACUGCAUUCGAAACUGGCAGGCUAGAGUCUUGUAGAGGGGGGUAGAAUUCCAGGUGUAGCGGUGUAAUGCGUAGAGAUCUGGAGGAAUACCGGUGGCGAAGGCGGCCCCCUGGACAAAGACUGACGCUCAGGUGCGAAAGCGUGGGGAGCAAACAGGAUUAGAUACCCUUGUAGUC
RNAcentral lists this ribosomal RNA (464 nucleotides) under uncultured bacterium. RNAcentral's name for it is "bacterial SSU rRNA". It matches the Rfam family "Bacterial small subunit ribosomal RNA", at positions 338 to 795 of the family's 1533-position model. The record is from RNAcentral.